GACGAACGCUGGCGGCGUGCCUAAUACAUGCAAGUAGAACGCUGAAGGAGGAGCUUGCUUCUCUGGAUGAGUUGCGAACGGGUGAGUAACGCGUAGGUAACCUGCCUGGUAGCGGGGGAUAACUAUUGGAAACGAUAGCUAAUACCGCAUAACAGUAGAUAUCGCAUGAUAUCUACUUGAAAGGUGCAAUUGCAUCACUACCAGAUGGACCUGCGUUGUAUUAGCUAGUUGGUGAGGUAACGGCUCACCAAGGCGACGAUACAUAGCCGACCUGAGAGGGUGAUCGGCCACACUGGGACUGAGACACGGCCCAGACUCCUACGGGAGGCAGCAGUAGGGAAUCUUCGGCAAUGGACGGAAGUCUGACCGAGCAACGCCGCGUGAGUGAAGGAGGUUUUCGGAUCGUAAAGCUCUGUUGUAAGAGAAGAACGAGUGUGAGAGUGGAAAGUUCACACUGUGACGGUAUCUUACCAGAAAGGGACGGCUAACUACGUG
Molecule: ribosomal RNA, 495 nt
Filed under: uncultured bacterium
Lineage: Bacteria
Description: partial 16S ribosomal RNA
Rfam family: Bacterial small subunit ribosomal RNA
Source: RNAcentral